UGUAUGCAUGUAUGUGCAUACAUACAUUCAAACACAUUCUUACACAUAAUAUGUACGUCCAUGUGUGUGCGUGAAGUAAGACAUAUAGGAAAAAAUAAAGCACAAUGGCAAGCGGAAAUACUCAGGCUGGCAUUCCGAUCGCAAUUGUCAUGCGUCACCAAGGGGCGUCAACGCCACGAGAAGAAGGAAAAGAAGGUAAAGAAAAUGAGAAGAGGGAGAGUGAGAUGAAGAAGGUGAAUAGGGAGGAGAAGAACAAGAGCGUGAACAAGAAGAUGUGGAGGAGGAGGAGGAGGUUAUGAAGCAACUGCAGGGACUGCAUUCUGGGAAACACAUAGGAAGCACAGGGUGUGACUGAGUUUGCUUGCAGCUGGAAACCUAUUAUUAAGGCGCCGCUGCCAAAUAGCUCCAGACCAGAAACAUCCGAGAAACGAAUUGCCUCCGAGAGAGAACAUUCCGGGACGGCGGGCGGGCACUGGUCGAAACUGCGUCUCGAGCCCUACCGACAGCCGCCCUUCAAAGACCUUCAGAGGGCCAGCGGGAAGCCACUCGCAUGGCGGUGUGCGGCAACUUCAGCGGCCAAAAGACGAGGGGCUUUAUAAGUCGCGCCACCAAUUGGCUAUGGAGGAGUAAGUAACGACAUCAUGAGGAAGAGCCUGACGCUUUGGUUGUUGCUGGCCGUCGGCCUCGUGCUCUCGGCCGCCGUCUCGGACGCUGCGUCGUACCGGGAGCGGCGGAGCCCGGUAUGUCACAUCUGUGAGCCCAUCUGCAAGGAGCCGUGCUAUUACCGGAGCCACAAUGGCUGCAAGGUGAACGUCUGGCGCUGUCCUUCGUUGGCCCUGAGGCCGCCCCUCUUCGCCGCCAGGACACCCCAAUAGCGGCGGCAGCGAACGAGGCGGAAGGGCGGAGGCCUCGCCAGCCACGUCCACGGUCCAAGAAUACUUGCAAUGCAUGGAUCGUCUUCUGCAACCAUCUGCAACAACAGAAGAGGAGUCAAGGAGAUCACUCGUCCCAGCUGUGCGGUCCAUGGAUAAUGCUUACCAUUAAUUCAGAACUUAGAAACAGCUCAAAAUCUUCAAUAAAAUUGAUCUAAUUGACGAAA
Penaeus indicus is the source of this 1099-nucleotide long non-coding RNA. RefSeq lists it as uncharacterized. Lineage: Eukaryota; Metazoa; Arthropoda; Malacostraca; Decapoda; Penaeidae. The transcript is spliced from 2 exons. The record is from RefSeq and is a predicted model, not a curated record.